RNAcentral lists this ribosomal RNA (385 nucleotides) under uncultured bacterium. RNAcentral's name for it is "bacterial SSU rRNA". It matches the Rfam family "Bacterial small subunit ribosomal RNA", at positions 29 to 416 of the family's 1533-position model. The record is from RNAcentral.
AUUGAACGCUGGCGGCAUGCCUUACACAUGCAAGUCGAACGGCAGCACGGGAGCAAUCCUGGUGGCGAGUGGCGAACGGGUGAGUAAUAUAUCGGAACGUGCCCGGUCGUGGGGAUAACGUAGCGAAAGCUACGCUAAUACCGCAUACGAUCUACGGAUGAAAGCGGGGGAUCGCAAGACCUCGCGCGAUUGGAGCGGCCGAUAUCAGAUUAGGUAGUUGGUGAGGUAAAGGCUCACCAAGCCGGCGAUCUGUAGCUGGUCUGAGAGGACGACCAGCCACACUGGGACUGAGACACGGCCCAGACUCCUACGGGAGGCAGCAGUGGGGAAUAUUGGACAAUGGGCGAAAGCCUGAUCCAGCAAUGCCGCGUGAGUGAUGAAGGCC